AUACAUAGGGGGCAAGCGUUAUCCGGAAUUAUUGGGCGUAAAGGGUGCGUAGGUGGCCAUUUAAGUCUUUGGUGUAAGUUCAGCGCUCAACGCUGUGAUGCUAAAGAAACUGGGUGGCUUGAGUGUGGUAGAGGCAAGUGGAAUUCCAUGUGUAGCGGUAAAAUGCGUAAAUAUAUGGAGGAACACCGGUGGCGAAGGCGGCUUGCUGGGCCACAACUGACACUGAAGCACGAAAGCGUGGGGAGC
This 246-nucleotide ribosomal RNA is filed under the name uncultured bacterium. RNAcentral describes it as "partial 16S ribosomal RNA". It matches the Rfam family "Bacterial small subunit ribosomal RNA", at positions 523 to 769 of the family's 1533-position model. The record is from RNAcentral.